GCGCGGCAGGAUGAGCCGAUGUUCGAUUAGCUAGUUGGAGGGGUAAAGGCCCACCAAGGCGACGAUCGAUAGCCGGUCUGAGAGGAUGAUCGGCCACACUGGGACUGAGACACGGCCCAG
This 120-nucleotide ribosomal RNA is filed under the name uncultured bacterium. Its description in RNAcentral is "partial 16S ribosomal RNA". It matches the Rfam family "Bacterial small subunit ribosomal RNA", at positions 215 to 334 of the family's 1533-position model. The record is from RNAcentral.